AAAAAAAAAAAGAAAUAUCCUUAAAAAACAACAGGUGUAUACGCUUUAAAAAUACCCAGGUCAUGAGAGACAACACUAAGGAAUAGUUCCAGAUGAAAGGAGACUCAAGAGUGUCUUCAUAAGAAGAGUCUAGGACACAGGCAUGUACACAGAGACAGCAGAAACCAUGUGAGGACACAGGGAGAAGGCGGCCAUCUGCAAACCAAGGAAAACAGGCUUCAGGAGAAACACACCUUGAUCUUGGACUUCCAGCCUCCAAAACUUGAACACGGUACAACUUUCACGAGGACUGAGUUAACACCGAGAAUGCAUGUGACAUGGACAACCUGGUGCCUCACUUUUUGUCACAAACAGAACUUUCCUGAGAAGGCACUGCCACUGAUUUUGUUGACCAUCUGCACCACACCUAUCACGCUGCCUCGGCUGACGAUGGGCAUGCACAGGAUGUUC
Molecule: long non-coding RNA, 450 nt
Filed under: Homo sapiens (human)
Lineage: Eukaryota; Metazoa; Chordata; Mammalia; Primates; Hominidae
Description: HSALNT0338411
Source: RNAcentral